This 1174-nucleotide long non-coding RNA is filed under the name Gallus gallus (chicken). Its description in RNAcentral is "lncRNA (ENSGALG00010015659.1)". Lineage: Eukaryota; Metazoa; Chordata; Aves; Galliformes; Phasianidae. The record is from RNAcentral.
GGGCCCCUUCUAUCCUUCCAUCAGAUGUGCACCGGCCAGUUUGCAUGCAGAGAAGCUGGAGGACACUGGGGAGUGGUGCGGAGUACUGGGGGAUGGAUGGGACCUGCUCCAGAUCCACAGCUAAGUCUGGUUGAGGAUCUGGGGCCAUGGGAGAGGGUUCUCCACAUUUUGAGGAUGCUAAGCAAUUCCAGCUCUCCUUUGGGAAUGCCCAGGGUGGAGGGACAGAGCAGCAGAUCUGGGACCAGCAGAACACCUGUGGUCAUUUGUAUCCCUCCAUCCCAAACUGAGAUCUGCCCAUGCGUAAAUCUGGAUCUUGGGUGGGCUUCUGUACAGCCAGGAGCUGGACUCAAUGAAGGAUUUGGAGCACAAGCCAUAUGGGGAGUGGCUGAGGGAACUGGGGUUGUUCAGGCUGGAGAAGAGAAGGCUCAGGGGAGACCUUACGGUUCUCUACAUCAACCUGAAGGGAGGUUGUGGUGAAGUGGGGGUCGGCCUCUUCUCCCAGGUAACAGCAAUAGGAUGAGAGGGAAUGGCCUCAUGUUGCACCAGCGGAGGUUCAGGUUGGAUAUCAGGAGUAACUUCUUCUCUGAAAGAGCCGUAAUGCACUGGCACAGGCUGCCCAGGGAGGUGGUGGAGUGUUCCAGAGCCGUGUGGAUGUGGCACUGAGGACAUGGCCAGUGGGCACGGUGGGGAUGGGCUGGCAGCUGGACUGGGUGAUCUUGGAGGUCUUUUUCAACUUUAAUGACUCUGUGAUUCUAUCUCAGUUUGCUCCCUGCCUCCUACAGUGCCGUGCAGCUGGACUUGUCAGCGUCCACAAAGGGCUAACAGACAAGACCAUGACACAAAGGCUUCAUGCUCUUUGUAGACUAUUGCUUCCUCUGACGCCCUUCAGAAGAGCUGGGAAAAGAUGUUUAUGCAGAACACAAAAGGUCUGAGGAUGUGAAUUGGAUGCAGAGGGAUGAAGCCCAGCGUGACAUAAAUGCCCUGCGAGUUGAAUGUUCCCAUUGAUCAGCAUCUCCCGCUUUGUGUAUGGGGAUGCUUUCCACCACGGAGGACCUAUUUAGCCAGGGACUGCUACAGUUGCAACCUCAUGGCACCUCACCAAUCCCUGGUUAAAUGUGGGGCUGGAGGAGGAGGAGGAAGGGGCUACAUGAGUCAAAGCAGCAAAACACAGCAG